This is a non-coding RNA of Trichobilharzia regenti, 46 nucleotides long. Lineage: Eukaryota; Metazoa; Platyhelminthes; Trematoda; Strigeidida; Schistosomatidae. The record is from Rfam.
GUACUGAUGAAGAGUUCUAGACUAGGAUGAAACAGCUUUCCAGUAC